Molecule: ribosomal RNA, 466 nt
Filed under: uncultured bacterium
Lineage: Bacteria
Description: partial 16S ribosomal RNA
Rfam family: Bacterial small subunit ribosomal RNA
Source: RNAcentral
GAUGAACGCUGGCGGCGUGCUUAACACAUGCAAGUCGAACGGAAAGGCUCCUGCUUGCAGGGGUACUCGAGUGGCGAACGGGUGAGUAACACGUGGGUGAUCUGCCCUGCACUUCGGGAUAAGCCUGGGAAACUGGGUCUAAUACCGGAUAGGACGAUGGUUUGGAUGCCAUUGUGGACAGUUUUUCGGUGUGGGAUGAGCUCGCGGCCUAUCAGCUUGUUGGUGGGGUAAUGGCCUACCAAGGCGUCGACGGGUAGCCGGCCUGAGAGGGUGUACGGCCACAUUGAGACUGAGAUACGGCCCAGACUCAUACGGGAGGCAGCAGUGGGGAAUAUUGAACAAUGGGCGCAAGCCUGAUGCAGCGCCGCCGAGUGGGGGAUGACGGCCUUCGGGUUGUAAACUCCUUUCGCUAGGGACGAAGCGUUUUGUGACGGUACCUGGAGAAGAAGCACCGGCUAACUACGUG